GGAGAGAUGCUCGAGUGGCUGAAGAGGCGCGUCUGGAAAGCGCGUGUACCCCCAAAGGGUAUCCAGGGUUCGAAUCCCUGUCUCUCCG
Molecule: transfer RNA, 88 nt
Filed under: Bacteroidales bacterium
Lineage: Bacteria; Pseudomonadati; Bacteroidota; Bacteroidia; Bacteroidales
Description: tRNA-Ser
Rfam family: tRNA
About the family: Transfer RNA (tRNA) molecules are approximately 80 nucleotides in length. Their secondary structure includes four short double-helical elements and three loops (D, anti-codon, and T loops). Further hydrogen bonds mediate the characteristic L-shaped molecular structure. tRNAs have two regions of fundamental functional importance: the anti-codon, which is responsible for specific mRNA codon recognition, and the 3' end, to which the tRNAs corresponding amino acid is attached (by aminoacyl-tRNA synthetases). tRNAs cope with the degeneracy of the genetic code in two manners: having more than one tRNA (with a specific anti-codon) for a particular amino acid; and 'wobble' base-pairing, i.e. permitting non-standard base-pairing at the 3rd anti-codon position.
Source: RNAcentral